Molecule: ribosomal RNA, 253 nt
Filed under: uncultured bacterium
Lineage: Bacteria
Description: partial 16S ribosomal RNA
Rfam family: Bacterial small subunit ribosomal RNA
Source: RNAcentral
UACGGGGGGGGUAAGCGUUGUUCGGAAUUACUGGGCGUAAAGGGCUCGUAGGCGGCCAACUAAGUCGGACGUGAAAUUCCUCAGCUUAACUGGGGAACUGCGUCCGAUACUGGAUGGCUUGGAUUUGGGAGAGGGAUGCGGAAUUCCAGGUGUAGCGGUGAAAUGCGUAGAUAUCUGGAGGAACACCGGUGGCGAAGGCGGCAUCCUGGACCAAUAUUGACGCUGAGGAGCGAAAGCCAGGGGAGCAAACGGG